UACGUAGGGUGCAAGCGUUAUCCGGAAUUAUUGGGCGUAAAGAGCUCGUAGGCGGUUUGUCGCGUCUGCUGUGAAAACUGGAGGCUCAACCUCCAGCCUGCAGUGGGUACGGGCAAACUAGAGUGCGGUAGGGGAGAUUGGAAUUCCUGGUGUAGCGGUGGAAUGCGCAGAUAUCAGGAGGAACACCAAUGGCGAAGGCAGAUCUCUGGGCCGUAACUGACGCUGAGGAGCGAAAGCAUGGGGAGCGAACAGG
Molecule: ribosomal RNA, 253 nt
Filed under: uncultured bacterium
Lineage: Bacteria
Description: partial 16S ribosomal RNA
Rfam family: Bacterial small subunit ribosomal RNA
Source: RNAcentral